UUUCCACCGUCCCGAUGAAAUCCCUUUCUAUUCUCUUUCCCCAUCCCACUAUUCUUUCUAAUCGCGUAUGUAUUUUGUGUCCAUUGAAGAGGCUUUCGCAGGGGUGGCUUGGGUGGAGGUGACAUCAAGGUUUUUCGAAUGAGAUACCAACCCUGUCAUGUUCCACCAUGUUGAUGGCAUCGAGUUCUAGAAACUCGUUUCCUGUUCCUUUUACUUCCCCUAAUUACACGCUAUAGGUAUGAUAUGAUUGUUUCUAAUGCUAUCUUUCUUCCAAACUCGAUUUUCCUCGAUGUUGUGUCUUCCACAGAUCCUCCAAUUUCUUUCGACGACAACAACUCAGUCCGUCCAACUAAUUCGGCAUAUGAGUUCGAGUCAGGUGGGGAAGCAACGCAUCAGGUUAAAUCCGUUGUGCCCCCAAAGAUUUCAUGAAGACUAACAUUGGUAAAAUGAAUCUUCAACAUCUGAAACUAUCCUUCCAUAUGAUACUUUUAACUACAGAACCAAGGAUUAUUACACGGAGCUAAAACCAUCAUGGUCCGCUUUUCAGGUCAGAUCAUUUGUGCUAACAUCAUUUAGGUUUUUCUUACUCUUUUAUUUGCCUCUUUUGGUGCGUAAUGUUGAAGAAGAUGAUAAUUUCUUAUCGUGUUUUUCGGAUGAGCGUCAUGUAGCCUUGGUUGUGCCCUUCAAAAAAUCAGUACAACAGACCCAUCGUGAGGUAAGUAUGAAGCUGACUGUUAUUACCACUAUACAAGUUUUGGAACCAUUUGUUGUUUACCAUUUCUCAUAGAGAGCAGCAUAGAAACUUCUUAAAGGUACAAUGUCCUUAUAAUCGUUCUCUUUUCAUGUAAUCUCAAUAACUGAUCGUUUUUCUUUUCAUGCUUAGAUGUCCCAAAGUCCAAACUCUGCUGUUCAAACCUUGAGCAUUCUUUGUUUCUGUAAACCUUAAUUUAUGUAAUUAAAUUUAUUUAACCCAUUUUUUUCCAACCCUAAAACAAAUUCAGCAAAAGUAACAAACAUGAGGUGUUACAAAAAGCUGAAAAGGAUGUUUCAGCUGUGAAGGUUCAGUAUAUAGCCCAGUUAGUAAAUCAUUGAUUUGAAAAGUAGUACUAACAAGUAACGAAGUGAUUGUUUUUCUUCAUUAACCCUUUACAAAAAAGGUAAGCUUCUUAGAGUUUGUUGCUAUAAGUGAUUCAAAGUUGAUGCUAAAAUGUAACACCAUAAUUUUUCAAACCAAAUUUUUUAAUUUAAAACACAUUUAUCAUAGUAAUAAAUCUCAAAAUGUCACAAUAAUCAUCAACUCUCUUAAUCAAAACUGUAUAUAUAUAUAUAUAUAUAUAUAUAUAUAUAUAUAUAUAUAUAUAUAUAUAUAUAUAUAUAUAUAUAUAUAUAUAUAUAAAACUCCAGGAUCCUCUAAAUCAUGACUCAAUCUCUGAUGUGUGUACAAUCAAGCCGGCACCCUCCCGCGAUCCAGAUAAGAACCUGAAACACAUAACACAUAACACGGUAAGCACGAAACUUAGUGAGUCCCUCAAAAUACCACAUAUCACACACUAGCCACUCGAGGCUAUAACUCUGUAGGACCCUCUGGUCAAUGUAUCUCAGUGGGACCCUUCAGUCCCACAACUCUGAUGGACCCUCAGGUCCUAACUCAGCAAGCUCAACAUAUCAUACAACAUAAAUCACAAAGACAUAAUACAGGAUAUCACAAUACUCAAUAUAAGCAUAUAAGGCAUCCUAGUCAUAUAAAAGCUACCACUCAUGGUAAGUAUAGUGAUAAGACUCACCUCGGUUGAUGAACAACCCCUAUAAACGCUGUUGCUACGUGCCGGCCACUAACUUUGUGCCAAACCUACAAUUAUCUCAAUUAAAAACUAAGCCCAAACUCUCACUCAUUGGGUAUAAAAGCAGAACACCAACCAGCCCAUCAAUGACCUAAACCCAUUGGGUCCACCAAGGCCCAAUAAUAAAUGGUCCCUCACAAGGCCCAAUUCUCAAACUAAAAGGCAAGCGCAACUCAAGGGCCCAAAGCACAUAUAUAUAGUUCUCUGGUCCAAGUCUCUAUUGCACCAAGCCCAAACUCCAGGCCCAACACUCAAGGCCCAACAUAAUACUUAGCCCAAAAGCCUACAGUGAGGUUAUGCGGGUCGUACCUCCUUGGUACGCUCAGAGUACGCUAGCAUGCACGGAUCUGAUCGGGGACACUAACCCAGUACGCGGGGCGUACUGGAUCUUCCGCUGGGCGUACACUCAGUUUUGCUUAAGUCCAUUCCUUUGGUCUUAACCCGUUAAGACCUUAGCUCAUUUCUCAUAUCUGGACUCCCUAAUAUCUCUUGCUCCAUAAAUUCGAAGACUUUAAGCCCUUGCAUGGUUGAUUAAGUCACAAACACUCAAAAUAUACACUCUUUUGCCUCAAGGAGCUCACAACUCAUGCAUGAAGUGACUCCAACUACCAAGAUUGGAUUUUUAUAACAUUACACCACUAAUAAGCUCAAGAAGGGAUGGUCCUAGUCUCUGGAGUUCAAGAUCUCAUCAAGUGUCCACCUUUUUGGGACAAAACCCUAAAAUACUCCAUUAACAUACUCAUAGAAAAAGAGAGGUAAAGUUUGAAGCUUUAUACAUCAAAAAGAAGCUCCCAACUCAGAUAUGCUCGGAUCUAGAAGCUUGGACUCCAACUCCUUCUUCUUCAAGGCUUCCACUUCUUUUCAAGAGCACACAAAACUCUCAAAAGCUCUUAAAGACACAUACAAGCUCCAAGAAUGAAGGAAGCGGGUUUUGGAGGGUUUGCUCUCUGAGAAAGGUGGCCAGGAAUGAGGCCAUCUCAUUCUUUAUAUAGGGUCACUUAAAAUAUUAGGGUUUUCCUUCACAGCCUAGUACACCCAGCGUUCCUCUUGGUACGCCCAAUAUACUAGGUGGUCCUCGCGUCUAUUCCAUGCUCAUAGGUACGCUAAGCAUACCUAUAUUUAUGCCCAUCGUACUCGAUUGCCACCCAUUUCUCAAUAAGGACUAAAUUUAUCAUAUCUUCCAAACUAUCAUAGCUUCUUUGUUACAAGUCUGAUUCUAAUGAUUCUUAUAUCCAUGGAAAGGUGGCGAGAAGCUCUACGCUUCUAUUAACUCAUCACAACCUCAAGGCUCUAUGAACCAAAACUCAAAACUCAUAAUUGAUUAAACAAGAUAUUACAAGAAAAAGUAGAAAAAAGCAAGUUGUAAUUCAAAGAAAUAAGAGUUGGAUGCUAUAAUAUACAAAUGAACUAAAAUAUGUUGAUAUUUCUUUUGCUGGAAUGCCACAAUAAUUGUUUCUAGGUUUGAUAAUCGAAGUUAACAUUUUUUUAAUAUGAUUUUUGCCUUUUUUAGGUCUGUUUUGUAAAAGCAAGUAAUGGGAUAUGGAUUUUUUUGAAAAGAUGCUGGUCCCCGAUUGAUCUCUAGAUCCAAAAUGAAAUGACUGGUGGCUUGCAGAUGAAUUCAGGUAAAAGCACUUAAAGAUGCAAGACUGAUAGUGGAUACCCUCUAAGCAAGAUGAAAAGGAGAAAACUAUAAAUUUCCUUAUUUAUGUCAUUUUCCAACUUUUCCUCUUUUUUUUUUUAUUUAUUUUAUGUUCUAACUUAAAUUAAUCAUGGUGUUUCUAUAGGUGGAGUGAUUGGAAGCAUCGGUGAUAUACUAGAUGCAUCACAGUUAAUUUGCAAAAAGGUUUUAUCUUUCUACAAUUUUCCAUAAAUUCUAUACUCUUUUAUCCACCGAUUGAUGUCGACGUCAAAUAUAUAAACAUUCAUAAUAAUUUUUUUUUUACUUAGAAACAUCACCUUAGUCCAUUUUUGUCCCUCGAAUUAAUGGUACUAUUUGGAGAUUUUGGACCCGAAUAGUGCCACUUCAUGGUAGAGUUUUGAAGGAAAUAAGUUAUGUAAAUUCUUUGGUUAAGAACUUUCAAUUACAUGAUUCUACUUGACAUAAUCAAAACUAGAAAAAAACAAUAGUAAGAUUAUUUGGGAUCAUAAAGGUUAGCAUUUUGUUAUCGUUUUUAAUUUUUAAGUUUUUGAAAUUACUUCUACAAAUAUUGCUUACUUCAGUUUCAACUAAUAUUGUGAAAUUUUUUUUUUGUAUUGUUUGACUUAAUUGACCUUGGAAUGUGUAACGAACUUAAUUCAUAUUUGGGUUUUCAAUUUGUUAAUGGAAUUUGAUUCUUUUGGGUUUUCUUGAGUUUCCCCUCGCAAAGAAACUUUUGCAUUACCUUCGAUUGAGGUUCUUUUUCAUUUUGCUGAUUUCAUUAGUUGGUUAGUUUUCUAUCGUUUCUAUGAAUAAUUGGUUUAAUUCUGCUUCCUUUUGUUGACUGCAUUUAAUGGAGUCAACUUGCUUUCCAUAACUUUCUUCUCUUUCAGGUUCAAAAGUAUCCACAAGUGUGAUGUUUAUCUACAGUCUCAACAGAAACCUCUGUUUCUGAUGCUACAUUUUUUUUGCUGAUAAGGGUAAUUUCGGAAUUAUCAACAACAUUUGUACUAGGUUAAGUUGCCUACACUCUCAAAAGAUUGUACAUAGAGAUGUGAAGACUUAAGACAUGUUGUUGGACAAAUCAAGAACUAUUAAAAUUGUUGAUUUUAUA
This is a non-coding RNA of Lactuca sativa (garden lettuce), 4591 nucleotides long. NCBI's taxonomy places the organism in Eukaryota, Viridiplantae, Streptophyta, Magnoliopsida, Asterales, Asteraceae. The record is from RefSeq and is a predicted model, not a curated record.